GGUGAACGCUGGCGGCGUGCCUAACACAUGCAAGUCGAACGGAGUCCAGCCUUUAAUGCCUUCGGGUCGAAGAGGGGAAGACUGAGUGUCAGACGUGUAAGUAACACCUGUACAACCUGGCUCAUAUAGGGGGAUAACAGAGAGAACUGUCUGCUAAUACCGCAUACGCACACACUUACUCAUGGCCGAUUUUGAAGAGAGUAUCGCUUGGAUAUGGACCCGAGUCGGAUUAUCAAGUUGUCAGGGUAAGAGCCUACCAAAGCGAGUAUCAGUAGCCGAUAUGAGAGAAUGAGCCGAGACACCGGGACGGAGACACAGUACAAAAUCUUACGGGAGGCAGCAGAGGGGGAUAUAGCAAAAUGGGGGGAAUGAUGAUGCAGCGACGACGGGUGAGUGAAGAAGUAUUUCGGUAUGAAAAGCGCUAUUAGCAGGGAAGAUAAUGACGGUACCUGAACAAGAAGCCACGGCUAACUACGUG
This 478-nucleotide ribosomal RNA is filed under the name uncultured bacterium. Its description in RNAcentral is "partial 16S ribosomal RNA". It matches the Rfam family "Bacterial small subunit ribosomal RNA", at positions 28 to 507 of the family's 1533-position model. The record is from RNAcentral.